Molecule: ribosomal RNA, 192 nt
Filed under: uncultured bacterium
Lineage: Bacteria
Description: partial 16S ribosomal RNA
Rfam family: Bacterial small subunit ribosomal RNA
Source: RNAcentral
AACUCGCCUGCAUGAAGUCGGAAUUGCUAGUAAUCGCAGAUCAGCAUGCUGCGGUGAAUACGUUCCCGGGCCUUGUACACACCGCCCGUCACACCAUGGGAGUCGGUAACACCCGAAGUCGGUAGCCUAACCGUAAGGAGGGCGCCGCCGAAGGUGGGAUUGAUGACUGGGGUGAAGUCGUAACAAGGUAAC